CGGUGGAGCGGUGGAGGGCGUCACUGGGUUUCGGCGUCUAGCAAGUGGUUCAGCUGUCUGCUCCCUAGCAGCCGGCCUUCGGGUCGGGCGUCUCCGUCGGCGACUGCCGCUUCAGUUCUCCCGGUGUGGCCACGAGUCGGCACAACAUUCUGAAAUUUUUUGGUUAUUGUAAUGAUGUUGAUCGGGAGUUGAGAAAAUGCCUGAAGAAUGAGGGUCUCGCUCUGUCACCUAAGCUGGAGUGCAGUAGGGUGAUCGUAACUCA
Molecule: small RNA, 262 nt
Filed under: Pan troglodytes (chimpanzee)
Lineage: Eukaryota; Metazoa; Chordata; Mammalia; Primates; Hominidae
Description: processed transcript
Source: RNAcentral